UUGGUUAUAUAAAAGAAGCUUUAGAAAAAAAAAUAGUUGUUUGUUAUAAUAUUUGAUAUGUUGUGUAUAAACAAGCCAUUUAGACAUUUGCGUUGUGUUUGGUUGAUAUUUAUAUAUUUAUAAGAUGUAAUAGAUAAAUAUGUAUUUUUUUCAUUUGUUGAUUUGUUGUAAUAAAUUACUUAGGUCCUGUUUGUUUACCUUUUAAUUGUAAAAUUAAGAGGCAAUGUCUUAAAUUUUCAGAUUCAGAUUGUUUGUUUGCAUAUGAUUUUUUACAUCUUAAAAUUAUAAAUGCCUCUUAUUUUUUCAGAUAUCGAACAAAGUUUGAAAAAUAAAAAAAGAGACGCGUUCCUUAUUUGCCCUAAACAAGAUCGACCGCCUCCUAUUCUUUUCUUCCCUUCGUGUUUGCUUCUUCGCGUCUGUUUCUCUACACCUUCCGACGACGCCGCUGAAACGACGCCCGCCCACCCAAAACGUUGAUGACGCUGCUCCUAACAACGUCGCAACCGCAAGUUCUUCUGUCUCCAACUCGUUCUUCCGCUGACGCAACAGUUGAGCAUAAAGCUAUUGCUGACAAGUGAUAUGAUACCAGUAAUUCCAACUCUGAAGUCCUCUGCAAAGGUUCUGAUUCCAGCUAAAACAAAAGGAACCACCAUCAUUGAUAUGGGCUAUAAUUUCAAAUCUAGUUCAUCGGAGAUUAUAUCUCCAGUUCAUUAAUUGGGCAUGUCUCUAUGCCUUUUUGCGUGCUCUGUUUCCAGUUCAUGAGUUACCACUCUCCUUGAUACAACUUGUAAACUACUUUCAAGAAUAACUAUUAAGGGUUUUUCUUUCAAGAAUGUGUUUAUACUUGUCAUGAUAUGUAAGAAAUAGCAAUGUACUUUUAUUGAUUUCUUUAUUAUAAAGUCAAACUUUCACCUCUU
This is a long non-coding RNA of Lactuca sativa (garden lettuce), 917 nucleotides long. RefSeq lists it as uncharacterized. The record is from RefSeq and is a predicted model, not a curated record. NCBI's taxonomy places the organism in Eukaryota, Viridiplantae, Streptophyta, Magnoliopsida, Asterales, Asteraceae.